ACUACGGGUGGCAGCAGUGGGGAAUAUUGCACAAUGGGCGAAAGCCUGAUGCAGCAACGCCGCGUGAAUGAAGAAGGGUUUCGGCUCGUAAACCUCUAUCAACAGGGACGAAAGAAAUGACGGUACCUGAAUAAGAAGCCCCGGCUAACUACGUGCCAGCAGCCGCGGUAAUACGUAGGGGGCAAGCGUUAUCCGGAAUUACUGGGUGUAAAGGGUGAGUAGACGGAUAGGUAAGUCUGAUGUGAAAGGCCUGGGCUUAACCCGGGGAUUGGAUGGGGAACUAUCAAGCUUGAGUGCAGGAGAGGAAAGCGGAAUUCCUAGUGUAGCGGUGAAAUGCGUAGAUAUUAGGAAGAACACCAGUGGCGAAGGCGGCUUUCUGGACUGAAACUGACGCUGAGGCUCGAAAGCGUGGGGAGCGAACAGGAUUAGAUACCCGGGUAGUC
This 443-nucleotide ribosomal RNA is filed under the name uncultured bacterium. RNAcentral describes it as "partial 16S ribosomal RNA". It matches the Rfam family "Bacterial small subunit ribosomal RNA", at positions 338 to 795 of the family's 1533-position model. The record is from RNAcentral.